Lactuca sativa (garden lettuce) is the source of this 1535-nucleotide non-coding RNA. NCBI's taxonomy places the organism in Eukaryota, Viridiplantae, Streptophyta, Magnoliopsida, Asterales, Asteraceae. The record is from RefSeq and is a predicted model, not a curated record.
CUUUCCUAUCAAUUGUCCACCAAAUUCUCUCCAAAAAAUUUCACUCAAAUCACAUCAUAUUUCAACCCCUUCCUAAAUCCUUGUGAACCCAAGAAGAAACUAGACCUCCCCAAAAGCAUUUAAAUCUCUAGCCUCGGUGAAACCGAAAACAUCCCGACUUCUUCGAACCAAAUAUCGUCACGCGACAAAAAAUUGAAACUGAACAUGGGAUUGUUGGAGUUUAUUCAGUUCAUCAAAAGUAAGAAUACAACCUUAGUGAGGUAAUAUGUUAUAACCGUUAAUUCGUUGUGAGCGUAGAACGUUGUGUAUAGAUCUAUACGGGUUGACACUCUCGUCCGUAUGGUUGUUAGCUACAACAUUCGUGUGACGAGACAAAACGGAUGAUAACUUCUUGUUUAUAUCUUAUUUCUUUUAUCAUGACGUUGUACUUCACAGAGGCUUGAACAAGUCAUAGCUCGGUUAUUUACUCCAUAAAAUCUCAGAUACAUAAAUACUAAUACAAACUUCGCGAAGGUUGUAUGUAGUAUAACGUUUCGCCAUUGAUGGAUUUAUUUGUGUUUAUUUAUAUAAAAUAGACACUUUAUAUUACACAUCGCAAAAAGAUGUCGAUUAUUACUUAUGUAUUAUAAUUAAGUUAACAUAAAUGCUUGCAUCGGUUUACAAGUAUACAUCUCACUCAGAUUAUAUCGAUACUAUUUUUUUUACGAACAUCUUUUUACAAAUCUUCUAGGUUUUAUGAAACUUAUUUUAUAUAAAAUUUAUAGAGUCAAAAACCUGUGGAUCUCACCAACAAAUUUUGUUAUUGUAUUUUUAAAAUGUGUAUUCUCAGGUAACUAAGAAGCCGGAGGUCGGACAUCGGUUCCAAAGAAAUUAAUUUUCCUAUCAUUUGUUAUGAUUUUGGUUUAUUUUAAUGUUUCGUAAUUGAAUAAUUACUAUAUUGUAACAAUGUUUACAAAACCAAAGUUUGUAAAAUAUUAAUUUAUGAAUGUUCGAUAUAUGUGGUUGACUUGGGUUCCAAUUAUAAACGUCGCAACUCCGACAUUUCCGCCGUUGGUCAGGGUGUGACAGAUUGGUAUCUGAGCUAACGACUAUAGAGAACUAAGUAUUUUCUUAAAAAUACAACUAUAGUCUAGGGCUUACUCUAGUAGGUAUAGAUAUACCGCUAUCCUACAAAAACUUAAAAAUAGAAUUUUACUAAACAUAAAUUAAUAUUUAUUGAUUUUAUAAAAACUCAUCUGUGGGUAUAACGAAUUAUUUAAAAACUUAAUACACAAGAUUUUAGAUCAAUUAAUCAAAUAGGUUUCACAAUACAUAUGUUUUAUCACAACUAGACCUAGCUUGCGCACCUAAGUUUUAUUACGAUUGGGCCUUGUGCAUUAUCCAACGUAAAUGAAAUAAUUGAUAAACUAAAAACUUGGAGUUUUAAGGAAACUAAAACAAGUCAACAGACACAAAUAAUUGAAAGAACCAAAUAAUAUAUAAGUAUAAUAUUUUUAUGUUUAUCGAUGUACCUUGGAUUAUAAUAUUUUCUUUAA